RNAcentral lists this ribosomal RNA (455 nucleotides) under uncultured bacterium. RNAcentral's name for it is "bacterial SSU rRNA". It matches the Rfam family "Bacterial small subunit ribosomal RNA", at positions 30 to 478 of the family's 1533-position model. The record is from RNAcentral.
AUUGAACGCUGGCGGCAUGCCUUACACAUGCAAGUCGAACGGCAGCACGGGAGCAAUCCUGGUGGCGAGUGGCGAACGGGUGAGUAAUAUAUCGGAACGUGCCCAGUAGUGGGGGAUAGCCCGGCGAAAGCCGGAUUAAUACCGCAUACGACCUGUGGGUGAAAGCGGGGGAUCGCAAGACCUCGCGCUAUUGGAGCGGCCGAUAUCAGAUUAGCUAGUUGGUGGGGUAAAAGCCCACCAAGGCGACGAUCUGUAGCUGGUCUGAGAGGACGACCAGCCACACUGGGACUGAGACACGGCCCAGACUCCUACGGGAGGCAGCAGUGGGGAAUUUUGGACAAUGGGCGCAAGCCUGAUCCAGCCAUGCCGCGUGUGGGAAGAAGGCCUUCGGGUUGUAAACCACUUUUGUCAGGGAAGAAACGGCUCUUACUAAUAUUAGGGGCUAAUGACGGUAC